CGGACGGGUGAGUAACGCGUGGGUAACCUGCCUUGUACAGGGGGAUAACAGUUGGAAACGGCUGCUAAUACCGCAUAAGCGCACGGCAUCGCAUGAUGCAGUGUGAAAAACUCCGGUGGUAUAAGAUGGACCCGCGUUGGAUUAGCUAGUUGGUGAGGUAACGGCCCACCAAGGCGACGAUCAGUAGCCGACCUGAGAGGGUGACCGGCCACAUUGGGACUGAGACACGGCCCAA
This 235-nucleotide ribosomal RNA is filed under the name uncultured bacterium. RNAcentral describes it as "partial 16S ribosomal RNA". It matches the Rfam family "Bacterial small subunit ribosomal RNA", at positions 99 to 334 of the family's 1533-position model. The record is from RNAcentral.